This 617-nucleotide long non-coding RNA is filed under the name Ananas comosus (pineapple). RNAcentral's name for it is "long non-coding RNA (ACOM_LNC018671)". The record is from RNAcentral. Lineage: Eukaryota; Viridiplantae; Streptophyta; Magnoliopsida; Poales; Bromeliaceae.
AAAUUAAAAUUUGAUAAACUUUAUACAGUUUUUCUUUUUUUAAAAUAUCUAAUAACAAAUAUAUUAUCAUAAAAUUUAACUUUUUAUAUAUAUUUUUUACUAGCAUUUUUUAUAUAUGUUAUUUUUCGAUACCGUUACUUCUAUUCAACGAUUGAGAUUUAAUUAUUUUAAAAAAUUGUGGCCUAUAAUAACAACUCAUGUUGAGAGAGAUAUCGGUUAUGAGGUAUCCCGAUAAGUGAUAUUUUUAUAUUUUAAUGCAUGAGUAAUUAAGUAAUUUUUUUCUAUAAUAUUAUCAAAAUCUUUCUUCUCUAUUUAUUUUUCUCUACCUUUCUUCUCAAUCUACAGAUAUUUCGUCAAUUCAUAUAAGAAAAGUGACAACACGACCUCAAAAGAUAAUUUUUCUUUUCUCUUUAUUUAAAAUUAUAUUUAAAAUAUUUAUUAGCUUUAACAGUUAAAAUACCAUUCUAUUUAAAAUGUUUAUUAUUUUUAAUGGUUCUAAAUUGUUCUUAAUCUUAUUCAGUUCAAUAUAUUGAACUCAGACGCUUGAUAGACUAGGUUAAGUUCUGAUUAGUCGAAUCAAUUAGCUCAAUCUAAUUUUUAAAUUAUUGAUACUAAUU